CAUACAUAUUUUUAUGUCUUUAAAAAUUAAAAGACAUGACUACAAGUAGGUAAGAAUGAAGUAGUACUGUCUCCGGAAGUAUGUUAGUUUGCCUCCUAACUCUCAAUUACCUAAGACUUCUUAUUCAAAUUUACCCUUUAGCAAAGCUACACUGCCUAGAGCAAGCGUGAAGCCCUGAUUAUAAUCCCAGCACCAGCAAAA
Molecule: long non-coding RNA, 201 nt
Organism: Perognathus longimembris pacificus (Pacific pocket mouse)
Lineage: Eukaryota; Metazoa; Chordata; Mammalia; Rodentia; Heteromyidae
Exons: 3
Source: RefSeq, a predicted model, not a curated record